GGCUAGCUCAAUCGGUAGAGCGUGAGGCUUCCCCGUCCGAUUCCGGCCAUAGGUCAAAGCACCCAGAGAGCCUAGUUAGUAAUUGUAGUGGGAGACCAUACGAGAAUCCUGGGUGCUGCAAUC
Molecule: ribosomal RNA, 123 nt
Filed under: Yarrowia lipolytica
Lineage: Eukaryota; Fungi; Ascomycota; Dipodascomycetes; Dipodascales
Source: RNAcentral